This 78-nucleotide transfer RNA is filed under the name Bacillota bacterium. RNAcentral's name for it is "tRNA-Phe". It matches the Rfam family "tRNA". From Rfam's summary of the family: Transfer RNA (tRNA) molecules are approximately 80 nucleotides in length. Lineage: Bacteria; Bacillati; Bacillota. The record is from RNAcentral.
GGAACCGUAGCUCUAAUCGCGUAGAGCGCUUGCCUGAAGAGCAAGGCGUUGGAGGUUCGAGUCCUCCCGGUUCCACCA